Transfer RNA from Ovis aries (sheep), 71 nucleotides. It matches the Rfam family "tRNA". From Rfam's summary of the family: Transfer RNA (tRNA) molecules are approximately 80 nucleotides in length. Their secondary structure includes four short double-helical elements and three loops (D, anti-codon, and T loops). NCBI's taxonomy places the organism in Eukaryota, Metazoa, Chordata, Mammalia, Artiodactyla, Bovidae. The record is from Rfam.
UCCCUGGUGGCUCAGAGGUAAAGAACUUGCCUGCAAUGCAGGAAACCCAGGUUCGAUCCCUGGGUGAGGAA